AUGGCGUCGAGCGGUGGAAUGAUGUUGGCCAUGAUGGGCCUCGUGGCCGCGCUGGUCUGCCCUGCGGUGGCAUCAGAGUUCAUCUCCAUGCCCACCGACGACGUCGUGCUCCCUGAUGGCCUCUCCUACGACUUCCACGCCCAGUCCUGCCCCAACCUGCAGGACAUGGUGCGCGCCGCUGUGGUGACAGCGCGCAACAAGGACAUCGGCGUCGUCGCCGGCCUCCUCCGUGUCUUUUUCAACGACUGCUUCCCUAAUGGCUGCGACGCGUCGCUCUUGCUGGAAGAAAGCCCCCACUACUUGAGCGAGCGGAUGAUUUUGCCCCAUAACGCCGGGCUGCACGAGGGCGCGCUCAACCUCAUCGAGAGUAUCCGCAAUACCGUGCACAUCACCUGCAAGAACGUGUCCUGCGCCGACAUCAGCAUGCUCGCCACCCGGGAGGCCAUCAUGCUGUCAGGGGCACCAAGCUACGAUGUGCCGCUCGGCUGGAUGGACAGCUUUGGUCCGGCCACGUUUGAUGAGGUCGACGAGUUCCUGUUCAUACCCAAGUAUUCCAAGAUCUUUGAUCUCGUCACGGUCUUCGGGUUCCGCGGCUUCGACAGGACUGACCUCGCCGCGCUUUCGGGCGCGCACACCAUCGGGAAGACACGCUGCGGGAGGGUCGACGACCGCACCGUCACCCCUGGCGAUGACGUCGAGUUCGUCAACUUCAUCAAGAAAGUUUGCAAAAUCAAUCCUGACCAUAGGCAAGACCUUGACGUUACCACCCCUAACACAUUCGACAAUAAUUACUACCGCAACCUCCUGGCGGGUAAGGCGGUGCUCGGUUCCGACACGGAGCUCCUCCUCGACAGGGUGACCAAAGAUUUGGUUGAGAAGUUUGCUAAGGACCAGGGCUUGUUCUUUUCACAGUUCGGCAAAUCCAUGUCGAAGGUAGCACAUAUUUCCGUGGGAGCAAACUAUGGCGAGUACCGCCGCAACUGCUUCAGGCCCAACUUUAUAAGGAACCUCACAGACGAGGGUUUUGUGGCCAGAGAUUGA
This 1041-nucleotide ribosomal RNA is filed under the name Triticum aestivum (bread wheat). Its description in RNAcentral is "partial small subunit ribosomal RNA". The record is from RNAcentral. Lineage: Eukaryota; Viridiplantae; Streptophyta; Magnoliopsida; Poales; Poaceae.